Molecule: long non-coding RNA, 2872 nt
Filed under: Homo sapiens (human)
Lineage: Eukaryota; Metazoa; Chordata; Mammalia; Primates; Hominidae
Description: non-protein coding lnc-BUB3-4:13
Source: RNAcentral
GCAGGUUACACCACCCCCAACCUGGACCCCAUCCAAUAGGCUCGUGGUCCCUGAUGGUCCUGGACCACUGAUUUGAGGCCUUUCUGCUUCCUUUGAUUCAGUCUUUGGCAGAGACCCAGGAGCAGGAGUCCUUGAUGGCACCUGGCCCUUUCUAGUCACCGACAAGGGAAACCUGAGAAACCAUUCUCAGAAAUGGAACUAAAUUGACACAGCAUUUGUCUCCUCCAGAGGAUACAGCACCAAGGCGCCAUCUUGGAAGUAGACUGGAGCUCUUAGCAGACCAGAACCUGUGGGCAUAUUAUGAAUAUUCAGUGAAACAACGUGUGUGCUCACCAGGCAGGAAGAGCUCAGCAAAUGGUGGCUGGUCUGGAAAUUAUUGUCAUCACUAUAAUCCUCAUCGACAUCCUCAGCCUUAUUGUCAUCAUCAUCAACCUCAUCAGUGUCAUCAUCAGCCUCAUCAACGUCAUCAUCAGCCUCAUCACUGUCAUCAUCAGCCCUUUGUCAUCAUCAUCAUCCACCUUGCUGUUCUCUUCCUUGUUGACAUCAUUAUCCUCAUCCUCCUCAUCACCAUCAACAGCAUUAUUUUUAUUUUUUAUUCUUCCACCUGUAAGAGUUUCUUUUCCUCCCUCUUAUUGUUUUCCUCUUGGGAUGACUAGUGGUGAAGGAAGUGUCAGAGGCAAUGACCUCACAGCUGUCGUUGCCAUGGGUGACACCUCCCAGAAAGAGCUUAUUGGAACUUUCAGUCCAGGGGAGUUUCUGCUGUUCCAGGAUGGAGGAAAUGUUCAAGAACUGUGGAGCAUCUGAGAUUUUUUUCCUACUUUUGAUGUCCACCUAGUCAAAGUUCAGCCCUCCAGGAUCUACAGGUGACCAAGAGCCUGCUGUCUGGUUAUGGAAGGUCUCAGCUUUGGUUGUGUCAGUGAAUGAAGACCAGGACAGUCACAGUUGUAUGAGGAGGCUGGGGGCAUCCCUUACAGUCCCUUUGAGGGAGGUGCAGUCCUUGUAGCUGGAUGACCAUAGAGAACCAGCUUCUCUGCUGAACCAGGUUCCCAAAGACACAGCUGACAAGCCUCACCCUGAAAGGGGCUUCUUUGAGGGUUGAGAAGAACAAAGCGGGAGGAACUGUUUUGUCUUCGUGGCUGAAAAGAUUUGCAGCCCCAAAGGAGCAGCAAUGCACAGCUCAUCCGAGAAAGCAUAAACCGCUGAGAACAUUCUCCCCUUCCGAGGGUCCUUUGAAAAUGAACAAGCCCCAGUGUACCGGAAACACAGUGCAGACCCCUGGAUGCCACCUUGUAAACAGGGCCGGGGGCAUGUCCAGCUCUGCUCUACAACAAUCGCCCUGUGUUGUGGGGGAGUGUGGACAGACCCCAUGCUCCCGUUCACUGGAAGGCAAGCGAGAGUUAAGUUUCCUGGACUUCUUCUGAGCACCAUUAUCCGGGGGUAGCGGGCGUAGCCUCCAGAGCCUUGGCCUGUGCAGGUGUUUGCCCCGCACUUGACACUCCCCAACCGGGUGACGUCUCAGGUGUCCGAGGGGGAACUCCAUUCCUGCAGCCCCACCAGGCUCGCCGAAAGCCUGGGCACCAGCAUGCCUCGGGGAGGGCUGAGCCCCAGGCCCGGGAAGGGGUGCCUAGCUGACCCUGGCGUGUGUGUCCUCCUGGCUCACCUGGGGCACCCUGCCUCCCUGUUGGUGUUGUUCUGUCCAGCUCUGUGACCGCCCCACUCUCAACAAUGAGGCGGCCUGUGGUCCUCACUGGCCAAAUGGACUCUCCUCUGGGAGUUUGAAUCUGUAGCAGCCACCCAGAGAAGGAGGGUGGGUGGACUCCCAGGAGCUCCCAGCCCUCUGAAGCCCAGUUUCAUCAUGGACUAUCCAGUAUCCUCCCAACAUUUGCCUUAAGUUUCCACCAAGAAUCUUAAAUGGAACAGAAGAUUUGGGGCAAUGACAUCCACCAGGGUGUCUCUCAGAAACAUGCUGAUGGGACCAUGGAGGGCCUCAUGGAGGCGGGGUCUUUUCCUCUGGGCUCUGACAGAUAAAGGCAUUGAGAGGUGAAGUAGGGAGGGGGUAACGCUGCUGCCAGGUGGGAAGAUGGGGCCCCAGCAGUUGCUGGCUCCUCCGUGCAGUCCCCUGACCUCCUGCCAGAAGGGGGGCAAGGGGGGAGCCCUCCUGAGCCAGGGGCCAUGCUUGGUGUGUCUCCUUUGACUGAAGUCACAGGACUGUUCCACCCAGAACAGCAGGGUUGGGGGAGCCUGGGCACCAGCAUGUCUUGGGAGGGCUGAGCCCCAGGCCAGGGCAGGGGUGCCCCAUGUCACCAUCCCUCAGCCCAGCAUGGCAGACUGACCAUUUGCCUCAGUUUCUCUAAUGCCAUCUGCUCUUCACCUGAGUCAAGGGGAUAAACAAUUUAGAAAAACAAAGCCCCCGAAAAAUGCAAUCUCAGCAUUAGGCAUGGUGUUAUAAUAGAGACAGCAUACAAGAGACUGAAUUCUAGAAGCUGCAAUCAACAGGCCGACUCCCUCCCCAGGGGCAUCAGGGGCUGCCGGGGGUAUCUUGGGCCCACUUACGCACGGGCAUUUCAGGGGUCACAGGAGGUGAAAAAGCAGGCUUGGCUUCAGGUUUAAGGACCAAGAGAGACUCACCAUGCUGUUGCCCCAAAUGGUCACUUUCAAACCCACCAGUGUCCUCCAAAAAAGCUGCUUAUAUUUUUAAACACCAGGGUCAAAUGUUUUAACAAUAAAUUCUUGUCCCGCAGUGAAUAAUUUGCUUUAGUUUCUGUGGGAUUAGUAGUCAUGGAAAGCUAGAGCUUUCCUUGCCUGUACUAACUGUCACUUCUGAUGCACUAAGGACAGGAUUAGGUACAGCCAGAUGACAUUUAUAUACAAC